RNAcentral lists this ribosomal RNA (436 nucleotides) under uncultured bacterium. RNAcentral describes it as "bacterial SSU rRNA". It matches the Rfam family "Bacterial small subunit ribosomal RNA", at positions 337 to 765 of the family's 1533-position model. The record is from RNAcentral.
UCCUACGGGAGGCAGCAGUGAGGAAUAUUGGACAAUGGGGGAAACCCUGAUCCAGCAACGCCGCGUGAAAUGAUGAAGCUGUUACGCAGUGUAAAGUUCUGUAAGGAGGGAAGAACCCUACCGGGUAUUGCCCGGUCUGACGGUACCUCCUAAGUAAGCACCGGCUAACUCCGUGCCAGCAGCCGCGGUAAUACGGGGGGUGCAAGCGUUGUCCGGAUUUAUUAGGGCGUAAAGGGCUCGUAGGCGGGACUUUAAGUCCGGCGUGAAAUCUCAUGGCUCAACCAUGAAAACUGCGCUGGAAACUGGAGUUCUUGAAUUGCGAAGAGGAAGACGGAAUUCCUGGUGUAGCGGUGGAAUGCGUAGAUAUCAGGAAGAACACCGAUGGCGAAGGCAGUCUUCUGGUCGUCGGAUUGACGCUGAGGAGCGAAAGCGUGGG